This 72-nucleotide transfer RNA is filed under the name bacterium. RNAcentral describes it as "tRNA-Arg". It matches the Rfam family "tRNA". From Rfam's summary of the family: Transfer RNA (tRNA) molecules are approximately 80 nucleotides in length. Their secondary structure includes four short double-helical elements and three loops (D, anti-codon, and T loops). RNAcentral also lists the same sequence under 1 other name. The record is from RNAcentral.
GCACCCAUAGUUCAAUGGAUAGAAUAUUGGAUUCCGGUUCCAACGAUUGGGGUUCGACUCCCCAUGGGUGUA